AUACGGAGGGUGCAAGCGUUAUUCGGAAUUAUUGGGCGUAAAGCGCGCGUAGGCGAUUUCGUAAGUCUGAUGUGAAAGCCCCCGACUCAAUCGGGGAAGUGCAUCGGAUACUGCGAGACUAGAGUAUAGGAGAGGAGAACGGAAUUCCUGGUGUAGAGGUGAAAUUCGUAGAUAUCAGGAGGAACAACGGAAGCGAAGGCGGUUCUCUGGACUAUAUCUGACACUGAGGUGCGAAAGCGUGGGGAGCGAACAGGAUUAGAAACCCCAGUAGUCC
Molecule: ribosomal RNA, 274 nt
Filed under: uncultured bacterium
Lineage: Bacteria
Description: partial 16S ribosomal RNA
Rfam family: Bacterial small subunit ribosomal RNA
Source: RNAcentral